This 385-nucleotide unclassified non-coding RNA is filed under the name uncultured bacterium. RNAcentral describes it as "contains 16S-23S intergenic spacer region". The record is from RNAcentral.
UCCUGGUUUCCCAGGCAGUCCCAUUAGAGUACCUCCAAAAAGGAGUAGUAACUAACAGCAAGGGUUGCGCUCGUUAUAGGACUUAACCCAACAUCUCACGACACGAGCUGACGACAGCCAUGCAGCACCUGUGAAAAUGUCCAAGGUUUCCCUUGGAAAGCUACAUCUCUGUAGCGGUCAUAAACAUGUCAAGCCUAGGUAAGGUUCCUCGCGUAGUGUCGAAUUAAACCACAUGUUCCACCGCUUGUGCGGACCCCCGUCAAUUCCUUUGAGUUUUAAUCUUGCGACCGUAGUCCCCAGGCGGAUCACUUAUCGCGUUAGCUACGACACUAAUCUCGCAGAGCGAGAUUAACGUCUAGUGAUCAUCGUUUACAGCGUGGACUAC